GAUGAAGAACGUAGCGAACUGCGAUAAGUAAUGUGAAUUGCAGAAUUCAGUGAAUCAUCGAGUCUUUGAACGCACAUUGCGCCCCCUGGCAUUCCGGGGGGCAUGCCUGUCCGAGCGUCAUUGCUGCCCUUCAAGCCCGGCUUGUGUGUUGGGUCGUCGUCCCCCCCGGGGGACGGGCCCGAAAGGCAGCGGCGGCACCGCGUCCGGUCCUCGAGCGUAUGGGGCUUUGUCACCCGCUCGAUUAGGGCCGGCCGGGCGCCAGCCGGCGUCUCCAACCUUCUAUUUUACCAGGUUGACCUCGGAUCAGGUAGGGAUACCCGCUGAACUUAAGCAUAUCAAAAGCGGAGGA
RNAcentral lists this unclassified non-coding RNA (349 nucleotides) under soil metagenome. Its description in RNAcentral is "partial contains 5.8S ribosomal RNA, internal transcribed spacer 2, and large subunit ribosomal RNA". The stretch from base 1 to 120 matches the Rfam family "5.8S ribosomal RNA", at positions 35 to 154 of the family's 154-position model. The record is from RNAcentral.